ACAUUAGACGAAUCAUCUGGAAAGAUGAAUCAAAGAAGGUAAUAAUCCUGUAGUCGAAAAUGUUGUCUCUCUUGAGUGGAUCCUGAGUACGACGGAGCACGUGAAAUUCCGUCGGAAUCUGGGAGGACCAUCUCCUAAGGCUAAAUACUCUCUAGUGACCGAUAGUGAACCAGUACCGUGAGGGAAAGGUGAAAAGCACCCCGGAAGGGGAGUGAAACAGAACCUGAAACCGUGUGCUUACAAGUAGUCAGAGCCCGUUAAUGGGUGAUGGCGUGCCUUUUGUAGAAUGAACCGGCGAGUUACGAUUUGAUGCAAGGUUAAGCAGUAAAUGUGGAGCCGUAGCGAAAGCGAGUCUGAAUAGGGCGUUUAGUAUUUGGUCGUAGACCCGAAACCAGGUGAUCUACCCUUGGUCAGGUUGAAGUUCAGGUAACACUGAAUGGAGGACCGAACCGACUUACGUUGAAAAGUGAGCGGAUGAACUGAGGGUAGCGGAGAAAUUCCAAUCGAACCUGGAGAUAGCUGGUUCUCUCCGAAAUAGCUUUAGGGCUAGCCUCAAGUGAUGAUUAUUGGAGGUAGAGCACUGUUUGGACGAGGGGCCCCUCUCGGGUUACCGAAUUCAGACAAACUCCGAAUGCCAAUUAAUUUAACUUGGGAGUCAGAACAUGGGUGAUAAGGUCCGUGUUCGAAAGGGAAACAGCCCAGACCACCAGCUAAGGUCCCAAAAUAUAUGUUAAGUGGAAAAGGAUGUGGCGUUGCCCAGACAACUAGGAUGUUGGCUUAGAAGCAGCCAUCAUUUAAAGAGUGCGUAAUAGCUCACUAGUCGAGUGACACUGCGCCGAAAAUGUACCGGGGCUAAACAUAUUACCGAAGCUGUGGAUUGUCCUUUGGACAAUGGUAGGAGAGCGUUCUAAGGGCGUUGAAGCAUGAUCGUAAGGACAUGUGGAGCGCUUAGAAGUGAGAAUGCCGGUGUGAGUAGCGAAAGACGGGUGAGAAUCCCGUCCACCGAUUGACUAAGGUUUCCAGAGGAAGGCUCGUCCGCUCUGGGUUAGUCGGGUCCUAAGCUGAGGCCGACAGGCGUAGGCGAUGGAUAACAGGUUGAUAUUCCUGUACCACCUAUA
This 1118-nucleotide ribosomal RNA is filed under the name Staphylococcus aureus. Its description in RNAcentral is "partial 23S ribosomal RNA". It matches the Rfam family "Bacterial large subunit ribosomal RNA", at positions 326 to 1452 of the family's 2925-position model. The record is from RNAcentral. Lineage: Bacteria; Bacillati; Bacillota; Bacilli; Caryophanales; Staphylococcaceae.